Molecule: ribosomal RNA, 340 nt
Filed under: uncultured Clostridium sp.
Lineage: Bacteria; Bacillati; Bacillota; Clostridia; Eubacteriales; Clostridiaceae
Description: bacterial SSU rRNA
Rfam family: Bacterial small subunit ribosomal RNA
Source: RNAcentral
UGGGGAAUAUUGGGCAAUGGGCGAAAGCCUGACCCAGCAACGCCGCGUGAAGGAAGAAGGCCUUCGGUUGUAAACUUCUUUUAAGAGGGACGAAGGACGUGACGGUACCUCUUGAAUAAGCCACGGCUAACUACGUGCCAGCAGCCGCGGUAAUACGUAGGUGGCGAGCGUUAUCCGGAUUUACUGGGUGUAAAGGGCGCGUAGGCGGGAAUGCAAGUCAGAUGUGAAAUCUAGGGGCUUAACCCCUAAACUGCAUUUGAAACUGUAUUUCUUGAGUGUCGGAGAGGUUGACGGAAUUCCUAGUGUAGCGGUGAAAUGCGUAGAUAUUAGGAGGAACACU